UUCCCCUAGUAACUGCGAGUGAAGCGGGAAAAGCUCAAAUUUAAAAUCUGGCAGUCUUACUGUCCGAGUUGUAAUCUAGAGAAGCAUUAUCCGCGUUGGACCGUGUACAAGUCUCCUGGAAUGGAGCGUCAUAGAGGGUGAGAAUCCCGUCUUUGACACGGACUGCCAAGGCUUUUGUGAUGUGCUCUCAAAGAGUCGAGUUGUUUGGGAAUGCAGCUCAAAAUGGGUGGUAAAUUCCAUCUAAAGCUAAAUAUUGGCGAGAGACCGAUAGCGAACAAGUACCGUGAGGGAAAGAUGAAAAGAACUUUGGAAAGAGAGUUAAACAGUACGUGAAAUUGCUGAAAGGGAAACGCUUGAAGUCAGUCGCGUUGAUCAGAAAUCAACCUUGCUUUUGCUUGGUGUACUUUCUGGUUUGACGGGUCAGCAUCAAUUUUGAUCAUUGGAAAAAGGUCAAGGGAAUGUGGCAUCUUCGGAUGUGUUUAUAGCCCUUGGUUGUAUGCAAUGGUUGGGAUUGAGGAACUCAGCACGCCGCAAGGCCGGGUUUUUAACCACGUACGUGCUUAGGAUGCUGGCAUAAUGGCUUUAAUCGACCCGUCUUGAAACACGGACCAAGGAGUCUAACAUGCCUGCGAGUGUUUGAGUGGAAAACUCAAGCGCGUAAUGAAAGUGAAAGUUGAGAUCCCUGUCGUGGGGAGCAUCGACGCCUGGACCUGACCUUUUGUGACGGUUCCACGGUAGAGCAUGUAUGUUGGGACCCGAAAGAUGGUGAACUAUGCCUGAAUAGGGUGAAGCCAGAGGAAACUCUGGUGGAGGCUCGUAGCGAUUCUGACGUGCAAAUCGAUCGUCAAAUUUGGGUAUAGGGGCGAAAGACUAAUCGAA
This 879-nucleotide ribosomal RNA is filed under the name Thaxterogaster causticus. Its description in RNAcentral is "partial large subunit ribosomal RNA". It matches the Rfam family "Eukaryotic large subunit ribosomal RNA", at positions 75 to 939 of the family's 3401-position model. Lineage: Eukaryota; Fungi; Basidiomycota; Agaricomycetes; Agaricales; Cortinariaceae. The record is from RNAcentral.